This 74-nucleotide transfer RNA is filed under the name Patescibacteria group bacterium. RNAcentral's name for it is "tRNA-Gly". It matches the Rfam family "tRNA". Rfam says of the family: Transfer RNA (tRNA) molecules are approximately 80 nucleotides in length. The record is from RNAcentral.
GCGGCGGUAGUUCAGUUGGCUAGAAUGUCUCCCUUCCAAGGAGAAGGUCACGGGUUCGAAUCCCGUCCGCCGCU